AUGUAUAUUGUCAAUUAACCGUUGUUCCAUCAUUUUAAAUCGUUUUUCGUUUUCUAUUUCGAACGCUUCCAUUCGUUUUUCAACGGCUUUGGAAACUGCCAAUUCAAAUUCUUCAGUGUUGUGCUUCUCAGUUUCCUCAUUGCUCAUUUUCUUUCUCCUCUUAUUUGAUAACAUAGAGUCAUUGCCAACUCUAAAUCCCAGAAUGCGCCCAUUUUUCUU
Molecule: long non-coding RNA, 219 nt
Filed under: Zostera marina
Lineage: Eukaryota; Viridiplantae; Streptophyta; Magnoliopsida; Alismatales; Zosteraceae
Description: long non-coding RNA (ZMAR_LNC004982)
Source: RNAcentral